RNAcentral lists this ribosomal RNA (465 nucleotides) under Vreelandella stevensii. RNAcentral describes it as "partial 16S ribosomal RNA". It matches the Rfam family "Bacterial small subunit ribosomal RNA", at positions 338 to 795 of the family's 1533-position model. The record is from RNAcentral. Lineage: Bacteria; Pseudomonadati; Pseudomonadota; Gammaproteobacteria; Oceanospirillales; Halomonadaceae.
CCUACGGGGGGCAGCAGUGGGGAAUAUUGGACAAUGGGGGGAACCCUGAUCCAGCCAUGCCGCGUGUGUGAAGAAGGCCCUCGGGUUGUAAAGCACUUUCAGUGAGGAAGAACGCCUGGUGGUUAAUACCCAUCAGGAAAGACAUCACUCACAGAAGAAGCACCGGCUAACUCCGUGCCAGCAGCCGCGGUAAUACGGAGGGGGCGAGCGUUAAUCGGAAUUACUGGGCGUAAAGCGCGCGUAGGUGGCUUGAUAAGCCGGUUGUGAAAGCCCCGGGCUCAACCUGGGAACGGCAUCCGGAACUGUCAAGCUAGAGUGCAGGAGAGGAAGGUAGAAUUCCCGGUGUAGCGGUGAAAUGCGUAGAGAUCGGGAGGAAUACCAGUGGCGAAGGCGGCCUUCUGGACUGACACUGACACUGAGGUGCGAAAGCGUGGGUAGCAAACAGGAUUAGAUACCCCAGUAGUC